Struthio camelus australis is the source of this 1217-nucleotide non-coding RNA. The record is from RefSeq and is a predicted model, not a curated record. NCBI's taxonomy places the organism in Eukaryota, Metazoa, Chordata, Aves, Struthioniformes, Struthionidae.
GAGUUGGUUGUAAGCCCUCCGCUUUCAGCGUUAAAGACUUUCUUUAAACAGUGACAGGAGGAGCUGGCUGAACUGCCUUACAUAAGCAUUAUAUGCCUUAUCAUAAGGCCUUCAUUAAGUAUCUUGUCCCUUGAAGCCUACCAAGUUCUUGACUCUGCUCUUCAGAGAUUGAAUUGCAAGGCAUUGGCUCUCUGUUAAAGGAAGAGUAACAUACAGAUGGGCUGACUUUACUACCUUUUCACUCCUUAGUCUACAGCAACUCAGGUCAUGCCAAUGAAAUGCUGUAUAUCCGUAUUCAGUACUUGAAAAAUUCAGCAAAUUAUUGGAAUGAAUAGAAGCUGAAAACUUGGAUUCGCAAUAGGCAGUAAAUGAUGAUGACUGCACCAGGGCUGAUCAUAGAGAGAAGUGAUACCUGCUGUUUUACUAACAGAUAUGGAAAGAAUAUGAUAGAGAGACCUUCUGUCAUUGUUGCCAUCAGCAAGGAGCGAAUGAAGUACGGUACAGUCAUAGGCCAUCAGUUGGAAGAUCAUGGCCUUGUGUAAACUAUAUACCUUACAUCGGAGUUGCAUUGUACAUGCAAUCCAAGAAGUGAGAUGAUGGUUCCUCACUUUCUGUCCUUGUUGCUCCAUCAAAUGUAGCACUUUGGUGUUGCACUGCAAUCAUGCUUCAUGAAUCUAUCAAAGGCCUUGGUGAACAAACUGAUCCUUCAGCUGGAGCUGGUGCAAUGUAUCAAGCAAACAGAGGCCAAGUACAAGCACUGCCAUCCAUACCUCAAGUAAACCUUUACCUUUUCCAAAACCAAGCAGAAAUGGUCUAGGCCAGUCAACUAUCGUCAGGUUAAACCUGCCUUAUUGGGUGGUAGGCCAUCAGUGAUCUUCUUCCAACACCCGCUGUUCAUGAUAAACCAGUGCAGCACCGAUGGGGAGCUAAACCAAAGCUUUUCUUCAACUAAGAAGACGCUGCUGACACCAAGAUUAAUGGUGGAAUGUGCUUAGCAGGAUGCCAGCAGCACUUUUCCAAGGCAGCGGAGAGCAUGACAGACUUGUAUUGCUAAUGCCUAUGCACUCUCCUUCUGGUGCAGUCAGUCCUGUGAGAACUUCAGAAAGUACAAGAUGACUUUUCUAUUAAAACAAAUUUUCAUAAAGGUUGGUGUUGUAGCUUCAUAAUUCUAAAUUAGAAGCUGUUGAACAGUUGCAAAAUAAAACUUACCUGUUCUA